ACCAAUCUAAAGAAUAUUACCACUAGACCAUCCAAUAGUCAGUCAGUCAGUCAGUCAGUCAGUCAGUCAGUCAGUCAGUCAGUCAGUCAGUCAGUCAGUCAGUCAGUCAGUCAGUCAGUCAGUCAGUCAGUCAGUCAGUCAGUCAGUCAGUCAGUCAGUCAGUCAGUCAGUCAGUCAGUCAGUCAGUCAGUCAGUCAGUCAGUCAUCAGUCAGUCAGGUCAGUCAGUCAGUCAGGUCAGUCAGUCAGUCAGUCAGUCAGUCAGUCAGUCAUCAGUCAGUCAGUCAGUCAGGUCAGUCAGUCAGUCAGUCAGUCAGUCAGUCAGUCAGUCAGUCAGUCAGUCAGUCAGUCAGUCAGUCAGUCAGUCAGUCAGUCAGUCAGUCAGUCAGUCAGUCAGUCAGUCAGUCAGUCAGUCAGUCAGUCAGUCAGUCAGUCAGUCAGUCAGUCAGUCAGUCAGUCAGUCAGUCAGUCAGUCAGUCAGUCAGUCAGUCAGUCAGUCAGUCAGUCAGUCAGUCAGUCAGUCAGUCAGUCAGUCAGUCAGUCAGUCAGUCAGUCAGUCAGUCAGUCAGUCAGUCAGUCAGUCAGUCAGUCAGUCAGUCAGUCAGUCAGUCAGUCAGUCAGUCAGUCAGUCAGUCAGUCAGUCAGUCAGUCAGUCAGUCAGUCAGUCAGUCAGUCAGUCAGUCAGUCAGUCAGCAGUCAGUCAGUCAGUCAGUCAGUCAGUCAGUCAGUCAGUCAGUCAGUCAGUCAGUCAGUCAGUCACAGUCAGUCAGCUCAGGUCAGUCAGUCAGUCAGUCAGUCAGUCAGUCAGUCAGUCAGUCAGUCAGUCAGUCAGUCAGUCAGUCAGUCAGUCAGUCAGUCAGUCAGUCAGUCAGUCAGUCAGUCAGGUCAGUCAGUCAGAUCAGUCAGUCAGUCAGUCAGUCAGUCAGUCAGUCAGUCAGUCAGUCAGUCAGUCAGUCAGUCAGUCAGUCAGUCAGUCAGUCAGUCAGUCAGUCAGUCAGUCAGUCAGUCAGUCAGUCAGUCAGUCAGUCAGUCAGUCAGUCAGUCAGUCAGUCAGUCAGUCAGUCAGUCAGUCCGUCAGUCAGUCAGGUCAGUCAGUCAGUCAGUCAGUCAGUCAGUCAGUCAGUCAGUCAGUCAGUCAGUCAGUCAGUCAGUCAGUCAGUCAGUCAGUCAGUCAGUCAGUCAGUCAGUCAGUCAGUCAGUCAGUCAGUCAGUCAGUCAGUCAGUCAGUCAGUCAGUCAGUCAGUCAGUCAGUCAGUCAGUCAGUCAGUCAGUCAGUCAGUCAGUCAGUCAGUCAGUCAGUCAGUCAGUCAGUCAGUCAGUCAGUCAGUCAGUCAGUCAGUCAGUCAGUCAGUCAGUCAGUCAGUCAGUCAGUCAGUCAGUCAGUCAGUCAGUCAGUCAGUCAGUCAGUCAGUCAGUCAGUCAGUCAGUCAGUCAGUCAGUCAGUCAGUCAGUCAGUCAGUCAGUCAGUCAGUCAGUCAGUCAGUCAGUCAGUCAGUCUGUCUGUCUGUCUGUCUGUCUGUCUGUCUGUCUGUCUGUCUGUCUGUCUGUCUGUCUGUCUGUCUGUCUGUCUGUCUGUCUGUCUGUCUGUCUGUCUGUCUGUCUGUCUGUCUGUCUGUCUGUCUGUCUGUCUGUCUGUCUGUCUGUCUGUCUGUCUGUCUGUCUGUCUGUCUGUCUGUCUGUCUGUCUGUCUGUCUGUCUGUCUGUCUGUCUGUCUGUCUGUCUGUCUGUCUGUCUUGUCUGUCUGUCUGUCUGUCUGU
Molecule: long non-coding RNA, 1755 nt
Filed under: Oncorhynchus kisutch (coho salmon)
Lineage: Eukaryota; Metazoa; Chordata; Actinopteri; Salmoniformes; Salmonidae
Description: lncRNA (ENSOKIG00005041705.1)
Source: RNAcentral